UGGGAAAAUCUUGGUAGUUCAAAGGAAAC
Molecule: non-coding RNA, 29 nt
Filed under: Rattus norvegicus (Norway rat)
Lineage: Eukaryota; Metazoa; Chordata; Mammalia; Rodentia; Muridae
Source: RNAcentral